This 1288-nucleotide long non-coding RNA is filed under the name Triticum aestivum (bread wheat). RNAcentral's name for it is "long non-coding RNA (TAES_LNC001675)". Lineage: Eukaryota; Viridiplantae; Streptophyta; Magnoliopsida; Poales; Poaceae. The record is from RNAcentral.
UUGGUUGUGAGCAGAGAAUCAAGUUAUCUGUAACAAGAGAAUCAAGUUAUCUGUAAGAAAAGGAAACUAAGUUAAGCCAUGGGUGUACUUUACUUUUAAGUCCUGAAGCCUUUACUUUAAGCACUGAUGUUGUGCAUGGAAGCUCAUGCUGGAAUACCUUUAGCUGCAUAUUACACCACAAAUAGCUUCCCUGCUACAAAAAUUAUGAAUCACUUCCAAGGUUCAAACAGUUAUUUGAAUUUACCAUCUUAUAAAACAAUGUAUAUGACCUUAAUGUAAACAUGUCUUAAAAUAGUUCAUGCACGGGCUAUAAUAACAUAUGAAGAACAGAUCCGUUCCAAGAUUCACAUGGUUUUUGAACCAUCUAUCAUAGCCAAGAAGAUUUGAAUCGCAGAAAAUGGGGCAGUACUAAGAUGCAGAUUUUCAAUAAAUCAUUGCACUGUAGUUUGAAUCCCUGUGCAGAACAAAAUUUAUGUUCAAUGAAAUCCUAUUAACCCAAUGCCAUAAUCCAAGAUAAUCUACCGAAUUGCAUUAUUGAACAUGAGAACUUAUUAUUGGAAUAUGUCAAAAAGGAGAUCAGACUCCAUCAAGAAUAGGUUAUUUAGAAAAUAAAUUACAUGUCAAUUGCAAUAAAAAAAAUCUUCAAAGAAUGUUUGACAAGACAAUUUGGCUGUCACAAAUGCCAAAUAAAUUACAGCCUAUAAAGAAAACAUCAUGUAGCUAGAGAAAAUGGACUUGAAAGAACUACGUGACAGUAAAUAGGAAAGAAGAUAGUUUAGUCGGCAAGGCACAUACAAUCGCACCAACAGGAAAGAAAUCCAUAUCCAUCGAUCAAAGUUGUUCUUCUUCUGUCGAGAUACGACGAGCGAGCUAUCUUUGAAAGAGCUACCUGACAGUAAAUAAGAAAGAAGAUAGUUUAGUCGGCAAGGCACAUACAAUCGCAACAACAGGAAAGAAAUCCAUCUCCAUCGAUCAAAGUUGUUCUUCUUCUGUCGAGAUACGACGAGCGAGCUAUCUGUAUGUAGUGGAGUACACAUACAGCGUAGUUAGUGCAGAGAUGCCCUCAUGCCCAUCGUCCAUCAAUCGACUCAAAAGAAAAGGUUCCGACCAAGCAAGCAUGAGAACCCCAACCUCUCACAGUCCACAGAAGAGCUAUAUAGCCUACAACAUAUCCUUGCUACGCAGUGCGCCCCAAACACUGACCUUUUUCAUCAGAGAAUGAACUUGUACUUUGGUAAGUGAUUAAUCACAUCCACAAGUCAGUUUUAUUCCGUGGAAUUCGAUGGCA